UACGAAGGAGGCGAGCGUUGUUCGGAUUUACUGGGCGUAAAGGGCGCGCAGGCGGCGAUCUUUGUCAGGCGUGAAAGCCCCGGGCUUAACCUGGGAACUGCGCUUGGGACGGGAUUGCUGGAGACCGGGAGAGGUAAGCGGAAUUCCUGGUGUAGCGGUGAAAUGCGUAGAUAUCAGGAAGAACACCCGUGGCGAAAGCGGCUCUCUGGAACGGUACUGACGCUGAGGCGCGAAAGCUAGGGGAGCAAACAGG
RNAcentral lists this ribosomal RNA (253 nucleotides) under uncultured bacterium. Its description in RNAcentral is "partial 16S ribosomal RNA". It matches the Rfam family "Bacterial small subunit ribosomal RNA", at positions 524 to 776 of the family's 1533-position model. The record is from RNAcentral.